GAGCGUUCUGUAAGCCUGUGAAGGUGUACUGUGAGGUAUGCUGGAGGUAUCAGAAGUGCGAAUGCUGACAUAAGUAACGAUAAAGCGGGUGAAAAGCCCGCUCGCCGGAAGACCAAGGGUUCCUGUCCAACGUUAAUCGGGGCAGGGUGAGUCGACCCCUAAGGCGAGGCCGAAAGGCGUAGUCGAUGGGAAACAGGUUAAUAUUCCUGUACUUGGUGUUACUGCGAAGGGGGGACGGAGAAGGCUAUGUUGGCCGGGCGACGGUUGUCCCGGUUUAAGCGUGUAGGCUGGUUUUCCAGGCAAAUCCGGAAAAUCAAGGCUGAGGCGUGAUGACGAGGCACUACGGUGCUGAAGCAACAAAUGCCCUGCUUCCAGGAAAAGCCUCUAAGCAUCAGGUAACAUCAAAUCGUACCCCAAACCGACACAGGUGGUCAGGUAGAGAAUACCAAGGCGCUUGAGAGAACUCGGGUGAAGGAACUAGGCAAAAUGGUGCCGUAACUUCGGGAGAAGGCACGCUGAUAUGUAGGUGAAGUCCCUCGCGGAUGGAGCUGAAAUCAGUCGAAGAUACCAGCUGGCUGCAACUGUUUAUUAAAAACACAGCACUGUGCAAACACGAAAGUGGACGUAUACGGUGUGACGCCUGCCCGGUGC
Molecule: ribosomal RNA, 651 nt
Filed under: Escherichia coli
Lineage: Bacteria; Pseudomonadati; Pseudomonadota; Gammaproteobacteria; Enterobacterales; Enterobacteriaceae
Description: partial 23S ribosomal RNA
Rfam family: Bacterial large subunit ribosomal RNA
Source: RNAcentral